UUAUUUCUCUAUUUCGCAUUUAACAUAUGUUAAUCAUGAAAAUCAUUGUGUCAAACCUAAACACAUUUUUUUUUUGUCAAAAGUAAUAUAUUAUUUUUAUUGAAAUUUUAAAUCAUACAUCUUUCUUUCAUGUUUUCUCGUAUCAUAUUCAUGCCGUAUGAUCUCAUUUUCAAUUACCUCUAUUAGCUCCACAAGUGCACACUCCAACUCUUUAAGUACUGUAGCGUUGAUUUGUCAAUUCAAAUACAUCAAAAGUAGGAAGAAAUGAAAAUUUUGGAAUGGUUAUAGCCUUGAAGUCGAAACACAAGUCUUUGCUAUGCUCUGGCUUUCAUUCAAUAUAACAGCUCAGAUUAGCCAGAAUAAUGUUGAUCCAUUCGAUUGUCCAAGAACAAACCACAAGCCAAUUAGCAAAUGAACAAGAAACAGGAAUCAACGGAGUAUUGUGAAGAACCAGAAGGAGCCCCGGAUUGCUCCCAAGGUUUUGGAGGAGGAACAUUACCUGCAAUGUUGACCCAGAAAUCAAUGUUCCAAAAUAGAAAAACCCAUAGUUCCAAACAGCAAUUCAUGCCUUUUCAGCAAAGCUGUGACAUGAUAUUCUUUUACAGAUAAACCAGAAACGUAAUAAAUUUAUAGUUUUGAAUGGAAUUUCUAAUAAAAAUUUUAAAAAUAAAAUAAAAUGUUGAAUUAGAAAUUGAGAACUUCGCCGAACCUGAUGGUUUGGUAUUGGAUCCCAUUGUCUGAACGACACAGGAGGAAACAACACCAGAUUAUGGUUAAGACCACACGAUGAAGCUGUUUCAACUAAUAUUGUACAAAAUCUAGAAGUUUCCGGACAGUAAACCUAAGUGAAUCCAUACUGUCAUUUAGUGACGUGUCCUGUCCAGAACUUUAGCUCACUUACCGCCUAACUACGGCGCCGUUUUGUUUCAUUUGUGCGUUUUAUAAACUUUCCUUU
RNAcentral lists this long non-coding RNA (955 nucleotides) under Durio zibethinus. RNAcentral describes it as "long non-coding RNA (DZIB_LNC000619)". Lineage: Eukaryota; Viridiplantae; Streptophyta; Magnoliopsida; Malvales; Malvaceae. The record is from RNAcentral.